Molecule: ribosomal RNA, 491 nt
Filed under: uncultured bacterium
Lineage: Bacteria
Description: bacterial SSU rRNA
Rfam family: Bacterial small subunit ribosomal RNA
Source: RNAcentral
AGAGUUUGAUUCUGGCUCAGAACGAACGCUGGUGGCGUGUCUAUACAUGCAAGUCGAGCGAGGCAGCGAUGCCGAGCGGCGAACGGGUGAGUAACGCGUAAGCAAUCUGCCCCAUAUCAGGAAAUACCCGUGCCAACGCGCGGUUAAUGUCCAGGAGAGUGGCCCUCCGCAUGGAGGGUUGACUAGAGAUUUAUCGGUAUGGGAUGAGCUUGCGUCCGAUUAGCUAGUUGGCGGGUAACGGCCCACCAAGGCGACGAUCGGUAGCCGGCCUGAGAGGGUGAUCGGCCACAUUGGGACUGAGAUACGGCCCAGACUCCUACGGGAGGCAGCAGUAGGGAAUAUUGCACAAUGGGGGAAACCCUGAUGCAGCAACGCCACGUGUGGGAAGAAGCAUUUCGGUGUGUAAACCACUGUCAUGAGGAAUAAGGCCGCUUCGACGGACUUGAUGUACCUUGAGAGGAAGCACCGGCAAACUUCGUGCCAGCCGCGGC